UUUUAUUGAAAGGAACUCAUAGUACAAGGACAACACAGUAACACUACAGCACAUCAUCAUCAACAUCAUCAUUGUUUCAAAAACNNNNNNNNNNUCACGCCUCUUCCUCUCUUGAUUUCGCAAUUGAACGGUAUCGCGUUUCUGUUUCGCCGCAGUUUUGCCGUUUCGCCGCUGUUUUAAGGUUUUCCGCUGCAAAUAUAUAUGGAUUUCGAUUUCAGUUUGAUUCAUGUGUUUGGUUUCGAGCGAUUCCUGACCUAUGUUCGAUUUCCAUUUCAUUUAAUUUCUUUGUUCUUCAAAUCUGAGUUUCUACAAGAUCUAUGUUCUUUGUAGAUCUAUUUUUCUAAUGCUGUGUUUUUUAGAAUGGUUUUAUGGCAAUGGAUUUGAUGAAUUUUGUUGGAUUUGAUGAAUUUUGUUGUUGUUGUUUUUUGCUUUUUUUAAUGUUGUGAAUUUUGGGAAUG
This 458-nucleotide long non-coding RNA is filed under the name Trifolium pratense (red clover). RNAcentral describes it as "long non-coding RNA (TPRA_LNC013845)". The record is from RNAcentral. Lineage: Eukaryota; Viridiplantae; Streptophyta; Magnoliopsida; Fabales; Fabaceae.